AGGGGAAAUGCAGGCUCCCCUUGAGGCUCCGGUCCAAGAACUGU
Molecule: non-coding RNA, 44 nt
Filed under: Bradyrhizobium diazoefficiens USDA 110
Lineage: Bacteria; Pseudomonadati; Pseudomonadota; Alphaproteobacteria; Hyphomicrobiales; Nitrobacteraceae
Source: RNAcentral